This 229-nucleotide ribosomal RNA is filed under the name uncultured Eubacteriales bacterium. RNAcentral describes it as "uncultured Clostridiales bacterium partial 16S ribosomal RNA". It matches the Rfam family "Bacterial small subunit ribosomal RNA", at positions 105 to 334 of the family's 1533-position model. The record is from RNAcentral. Lineage: Bacteria; Bacillati; Bacillota; Clostridia; Eubacteriales.
GGUGAGUAACACGUGAGUAACCUGCCUUACACAAGGGGAUAGCCGUUGGAAACGACGAAUAAUACCCUAUGAAACUAUCACUUCGCAUGAAGCGAUAGUCAAAGUGUUAGCGGUGUAAGAUGGACUUGCGUCUGAUUAGCUAGUUGGUGAGAAAAAAGCCCACCAAGGCAACGAUCAGUAGCCGGCUUGAGAGAGUGUACGGCCACAUUGGGACUGAGACACGGCCCAG